GUGAGUCUUCUUGGCUGGAAUUGUCGGGGUAUCGGCAACACCCCGAUAAUUCAAGAGACACACAAACUCGUGUUAAAGUUUGCCCCUAAAGUUAUUUGUAUAGUAGAAACUCAAAUCAGUAGAGAGAGAGCUGAAAAUUUAGCAAAUACUUUAGGUUAUGAUUGCGCUUAUGGUGUUGAUCCCACUAGUAGAAGUGGCGGCCUUGCUAUGUUUUGGAACAAUGAUAUAAAGGUUAAAGUUUUAGGUUAUUCAAAGUACGAAUUGAUGCAAAGAUUACUGAACUAG
RNAcentral lists this ribosomal RNA (285 nucleotides) under Triticum aestivum (bread wheat). RNAcentral describes it as "partial small subunit ribosomal RNA". Lineage: Eukaryota; Viridiplantae; Streptophyta; Magnoliopsida; Poales; Poaceae. The record is from RNAcentral.